GAGCAGAGUUUUUAAAUAACCUCUCACAGUACGGGACCUAGUUGCUGAUUAGGGAUCAGAGAACUGUCAUGCAAUAAAGGGGGCCGUGUGAUUUCUUUUUUCAGAGUUUCAGUAACCAGUGUGUGGGAUCAGAAGCACAGUUUGUAACUGGUCAGUGAGUUUAACUUCAGUGUUAACCACCAGUUUGGGGAGCAUCUGCUCUCCCUUUUUCAGCCUGCUCUGACCUUGGCAUUUUCAGUGAGGACUGCCCCAGGCACACUAGGUCACACUAAGCACUGAAGAUAAAUUAACAGAAUGUUUUUGAUGAUCAAGUUGUAUGAAAUCAACUGAACUCCUUUGUUUUCUUCCAUCUGAGCAGAGUUUCUGGUUUUCCAACGUGAUAUGAUCUCCCAGCUGGAACAAGGGGAAGAGCCAUGGGUCCCAGAGCUCCAGGGUUCAGAGGAAAGAGAGAUCCUGAGAUCUCCCCGCACAGAUGAGGAAACAUUAAACCAACUCAGAAUCUAUCAGGCCUUUCUCAACAUCAGAGAAUCCACACAGGGGAGAGGCCCUGUGAAUGCCAUGAGUGCGGGAAAACUUUCAGUCACAGCUCGCACCUUAUUGGGCAUCAGAGAAUCCACAUGAGCGAGAAGCCCCGCAAAUGCCGUCAGCAGGCCUGCACAACUCGUAAAGCGGUGAUGUAGAGAAAUCUCUGUAUUAACUAUCUCUAUAAAUCUUUAUAACGUUGCAUUGUGUUAUUUUGUAUUAAGUAUCUUUNGAGCGAGAAGCCCCGCAAAUGCCGUCAGCAGGCCUGCACAACUCGUAAAGCGGUGAUGUAGAGAAAUCUCUGUAUUAACUAUCUCUAUAAAUCUUUAUAAAGUUGCAUUGUGUUAUUUUGUAUUAAGCAUCUUUCUGUAUUAAGUAUCUUUAUGACAUUGCAUCCGGCAUGAUGUUNUUAUCUUUAUGACAUUGCAUCUGGCAUGAUGUUAUUGUGUAAUUCAUAUGACUUGGCAUUGUGCCUCUCUAUUUUCAUACAACUUUGUAUUAGAUCCCUAU
Molecule: long non-coding RNA, 1032 nt
Filed under: Gopherus agassizii (Agassiz's desert tortoise)
Lineage: Eukaryota; Metazoa; Chordata; Testudines; Testudinidae
Description: lncRNA (ENSGAGG00000005301.1)
Source: RNAcentral